GACGCAGUAGCUCUAAGGGUAGAGCCCCGUCUCGGCGGGAGUGGUGCAGGGUUCGAGUCCCUGCCUGCGUCACCA
This 75-nucleotide transfer RNA is filed under the name bacterium. RNAcentral describes it as "tRNA-OTHER". The record is from RNAcentral.